This 97-nucleotide signal recognition particle RNA is filed under the name Alysiella crassa. RNAcentral describes it as "Bacterial small signal recognition particle RNA". It matches the Rfam family "Bacterial small signal recognition particle RNA". From Rfam's summary of the family: The signal recognition particle (SRP) is a universally conserved ribonucleoprotein involved in the co-translational targeting of proteins to membranes. The record is from Rfam by way of RNAcentral. Lineage: Bacteria; Pseudomonadati; Pseudomonadota; Betaproteobacteria; Neisseriales; Neisseriaceae.
AGCGGGUCUCCUUGCAUGAUGAUUCGGAGCAACGGGUCAGGGGCGGAAGCCAGCAGCCCACUCGGGAAAGUCAGUGCCAAGGGUCUGGCUCGCUACC